AACGUAGAGAAAUUUGCGCUAAUACCUCAUAAUGUCUUCGGACCAAAGAUUUAUCGCUCAGGGAUCAGCCCGCGUCAGAUUAGAUAGUUGGUGAGGUAACGGCUCACCAAGUCGACGAUCUGUAGGGGGUCUGAGAGGAUGAUCCCCCACACUGGUACUGAGACACGGACCAGACUCCUACGGGAGGCAGCAGUGAGGAAUAUUGGACAAUGGAGGAAACUCUGAUCCAGCCAUGCCGCGUGAGUGAAGAAGGCCUUAGGGUUGUAAAGCUCUUUCAAUUGUGAAGAUAAUGACGGUAGCAAUACAAGAAGCUCCGGCUAAAUUCGUGCCAGCAGCCGCGGUAAUACGAAUGGAGCAAGCGUUGUUCGGAAUCACUGGGCUUAAAGCGUAUGUAGGCGGAAACGAAAGUCAGGAGUGAAAUCCCGGGGCUCAACCUCGGAACUGCUCUUGAAACUUCGUUUCUAGAAUCCUGGAGAGGUUAGGAGAAUUCCGAGUGUAGAGGUGAAAUUCGCAGAUAUUCGGAGGAAUACCAGUGGCGUAGCGCCUAACUGGACAGGUAUUGACGCUCAGAUACGAAAGCGUGGGGAGCAAACAGGAUUAGAUACCCUGGUAGUCCACGCCGUAAACGAUGUUUGCUAGUUGUCAGGACCAAAGGUUUUGGUGACGGAGAGAAAUCAUUAAGCAAACCGCCUGGGGAGUACGGCCGCAAGUUAAAACUCAAAGGAAUUGACGGGGACCCGCACAAGCGUGGAGCAUGUUGUUUAAUUCGAAGCAACGCGAAGAACCUUACCCACUCUUGACAUCCUCCUUGGGACUUUCAGAGAUGAUUG
RNAcentral lists this ribosomal RNA (830 nucleotides) under uncultured bacterium. RNAcentral's name for it is "bacterial SSU rRNA". It matches the Rfam family "Bacterial small subunit ribosomal RNA", at positions 145 to 1012 of the family's 1533-position model. The record is from RNAcentral.